RNAcentral lists this small RNA (661 nucleotides) under Histoplasma ohiense. Its description in RNAcentral is "hypothetical lncRNA". The record is from RNAcentral. Lineage: Eukaryota; Fungi; Ascomycota; Eurotiomycetes; Onygenales; Ajellomycetaceae.
UAGCUACAUUAUACUACUACACUACACUCUACAAUAUAUUACUAUUAUCUCUGCUAUGCUAUAAACUAUCUUCUACUGUUACUCUUCACACUGUCACUACAUGUAAUGCACUCGUUUAUUAUUUCCUUAUUGUAUAUUAUCUUCGCUUAUUCUUAUCUCUUUCCAUUAUACUCUCGCUACCGCUAUUUCUAUAUGUAGAUAUAUAUAUCGAUGUAUGUAUUUUGCACAUCUUCUUUCUCUUUCUUUUCUUUCUUAGCAAUUAGCUACAUUACAUUACACUACUAUACUACACUCUACAAUAUACUACUAUUAUCUCUGCUAUGUUAUAAAUUAUCUUCUACUGUUACUCUUCACACUGUCACUACAUCUUACAGUUUCUAAUCACUCAAUCUUUGAGAGAUGAUCUGUUGAGUAAUAGUCAUGAUCUCUAUCCACAGCAUCUACUGUACUCAUACUAUCACUGAACUCAAAGCAACAAAUAUCAUUGAAGAAAACUGUGAAACAUACACUUCUGUCACUGAAAGUGUGCAAUAAAUAUCAUCUUUCUUUAUAAAAUUGAACUCUGAGUAUAGUUUAGAAGAGAACAUCUCUUCUGAAGAUCUCAGCACAAUUGAGACUGAAAAAAUAGCUGUGAUCAGAAGAAUCAAAAAAUUACAGACUG